Molecule: ribosomal RNA, 253 nt
Filed under: uncultured bacterium
Lineage: Bacteria
Description: partial 16S ribosomal RNA
Rfam family: Bacterial small subunit ribosomal RNA
Source: RNAcentral
UACAGAGGGUGCGAGCGUUGUUCGGAAUUAUUGGGCGUAAAGCGCGUGUAGGCGGCGAUGCAAGUCGGGUGUGAAAGCCCUCAGCUUAACUGAGGAAGUGCGCCCGAAACUGCAUUGCUUGAGUACCGGAGAGGAUGGCGGAAUUCCCCAAGUAGAGGUGAAAUUCGUAGAUAUGGGGAGGAACACCGGUGGCGAAGGCGGCCAUCUGGACGGAUACUGACGCUGAGACGCGAAAGCAUGGGGAGCAAACAGG